RNAcentral lists this long non-coding RNA (412 nucleotides) under Pan troglodytes (chimpanzee). RNAcentral's name for it is "long non-coding RNA NONPTRT000456". Lineage: Eukaryota; Metazoa; Chordata; Mammalia; Primates; Hominidae. The record is from RNAcentral.
CGGGCCUUCUCGUGGCUACCUCUGUGCUUCCCUGAGACCUGAUUUGCGAGCCCUUUUUGCUGGUUUUCGCCAGAGGUUUUUUACCAAAUCAAAAUUUCAACCAUUGACUAACACAGGGGUUGAAGGAAGAAGACGGGGAAGUUCAGUGAUGGAUGGGAACAACAGUCUUAGAUGAUAGGGAUAAUUAAGAGGGCAUAGUUGGGGACUUGUGGUUAUUUUGCACAGCUCUCUACUCUCAGUCCAAUGUUUGGAAAUGAGGAUGCUCCAUGUGCUACCCUAAAGAACCAUUUAUAUGGCCACCCUGGCAGUACCAGCAAGUGUUCCUCCAGCUAUGCCGGCCCCAGCCCUAAUGGCAGUCUUAGCCUCGGUCCCAGCCCCAGCGCCAGCACUGGCUACAGCUCCAGCUCUGGCC